This is a microRNA precursor of Oryza rufipogon (brownbeard rice), 209 nucleotides long. It matches the Rfam family "MIR812 microRNA precursor family". The record is from Rfam. NCBI's taxonomy places the organism in Eukaryota, Viridiplantae, Streptophyta, Magnoliopsida, Poales, Poaceae.
AAUAAAUGUAGUUUUACACUAUUCAUAUAUAAAGUUUAACCAUUCGUCUUAUUUAAAAAUUUUUUACGGUUAAUAUUUUUAUUAUUAUUAGAUUAUAAAACAUGAAUAGUACUUUAUGUGCGACUAAAUUUUUUUAAAUUUUCUUAUAAAUUUUUCAAAUAAAACGGACGGUCAAACGUUGGACACGGAUUUCCGCAACUACACUUAUU